UAUAUCACACUUUAAAUUCCUCCCCACCACACUUGCCAUCCCCAAUAUCAUCCCUCAUUGUUCAAGCUUGUUUGAACAGCACACUACUGAAUUGACUGUCUUUCUUCUUCCUCCAACAUCUAUCGCACUGAUUGUUUUCUGAUCUUCGUAACCACAUACGAUUUUAGCGUUUGGACCGGCCUCGCAACCUACAAACCUAUGCCACGAAAGUGUGUACGCGUGGAAGCUUCUUUUGUUACAAGAUUCCAUGGCUGUUCUAUCUUCCAUUCAUUGUUGGAAUCGGUGAUCUCGGAAAUUUUAGAGAUGGUUUAGUUGUGAAAAGGGCUACUCGGUAACUGUUAUGAGGUAUGCUCUAAUGUGUGACACUCGUCCAGGUAGCUACUGUACUCAGAGACCGCCUAUAAAAAUGAUAUACAUUGGGUACCUGCGUACGUUAAAACCCACACGGAUAAUCAGGGGAAUUGAGUUGACCUAGUUGCUGAACAGAAUUACAUAAGCCACAAACGAAUGAAGCGGUGAUGGUCCUCCAAUUGGCUUGUAUAAGGAAGCGUUGGGAGAGCGGCGAGGAUGGUACCGGGGGAUGGGGCAUAAACCUUCUUCAAACACGCCCUCGAACUUGUCGGCUUCGCAACCUCAGACGCAAGAACCCUUUUCUGAGGAAUUUGUUAACAGUUUGUUCCAAACCCCGACCUUUCUGAAUCAACUUGACAACUAUCUUGGUUCAAAAGGAAAUCAAACAGCAAACGACGAUGAUUCUGAUAACAUAUUCGAUAACGAAGAUGAGGAUGAUUUCGACGGAUGACUUGUUAUUUUUAACGUUUUUACGCAACUCUAGGAUGAAUGUAGAACUUAAACGUUGUUUGUAAUUUUAUUACGUUUAGUAUAUGUUUUUGGCGUUUGUUUGCGUUGCGGAAAUUAGAAAUUUGGCAGCUUUUGUAGGGUGUCUGUUAGUAUGCUACUUUUUGAUAAGAUCUUUUACUAAUAAUUUUUUUAACGCUUU
This is a long non-coding RNA of Helianthus annuus (common sunflower), 1000 nucleotides long. RefSeq lists it as uncharacterized. The record is from RefSeq and is a predicted model, not a curated record. NCBI's taxonomy places the organism in Eukaryota, Viridiplantae, Streptophyta, Magnoliopsida, Asterales, Asteraceae. The transcript is spliced from 5 exons.